Molecule: ribosomal RNA, 252 nt
Filed under: uncultured Bacteroidales bacterium
Lineage: Bacteria; Pseudomonadati; Bacteroidota; Bacteroidia; Bacteroidales
Description: partial 16S ribosomal RNA
Rfam family: Bacterial small subunit ribosomal RNA
Source: RNAcentral
UACGGAGGAUUCAAGCGUUAUCCGGAUUUAUUGGGUUUAAAGGGUGCGUAGGCGGAAUAUCAAGUCAGCGGUAAAAAUUCGGGGCUCAACCCCGUCGUGCCGUUGAAACUGAUGUUCUUGAGUGGGCGAGAAGUAAGCGGAAUGCGUGGUGUAGCGGUGAAAUGCAUAGAUAUCACGCAGAACGCCGAUUGCGAAGGCAGCUUACCGGCGCUCAACUGACGCUGAGGCACGAAAGUGCGGGUAUCGAACAGG